Molecule: ribosomal RNA, 492 nt
Filed under: uncultured bacterium
Lineage: Bacteria
Description: partial 16S ribosomal RNA
Rfam family: Bacterial small subunit ribosomal RNA
Source: RNAcentral
AGUGAACGCUGGCGGUAGGCCUAACACAUGCAAGUCGAACGGCAGCACAGUAAGAGCUUGCUCUUACGGGUGGCGAGUGGCGGACGGGUGAGGAAUACAUCGGAAUCUACUUUUUCGUGGGGGACAACGUAGGGAAACUUACGCUACUACCGCAUACGACCUACGGGUGAAAGCAGGUGAUCUUCGGACCUUGCGCGAUUGAAUGAGCCGAUGUCGGAUUAGCUAGUUGGCGGGGUAAAGGCCCACCAAGGCGACGAUCCGUAGCUGGUCUGAGAGGAUGAUCAGCCACACUGGAACUGAGACACGGUCCAGACUCCUACGGGAGGCAGCAGUGGGGAAUAUUGGACAAUGGGGGCAAGCUGGAUCCAGCCAUACCGCGUGGGUGAAGAAGGCCUUCGGGUUGUAAAGCCCUUUUGUUGGGAAAGAAAAGCAGCAGGUUAAUACCCCGCUGUUCUGACGGUACCCAAAGAAUAAGCACCGGCUAACUUCGUG